Molecule: transfer RNA, 72 nt
Filed under: Ovis aries (sheep)
Lineage: Eukaryota; Metazoa; Chordata; Mammalia; Artiodactyla; Bovidae
Rfam family: tRNA
About the family: Transfer RNA (tRNA) molecules are approximately 80 nucleotides in length. Their secondary structure includes four short double-helical elements and three loops (D, anti-codon, and T loops).
Source: Rfam by way of RNAcentral
UCCCCAGUGACUCAGACGGUAAAGUGUCUGCCUACAAUGCAGGAGACCCGGGUUCAACCCCUGGGUCGGAAA